AAAAGAUAGAAAACUCAUCUUCUAUUACUUUUUCUCUUCUCUUAAUCUUCUUCUAUUCCUUUUACUUUCUUUUUUGAAAAUCUAAUUUCCCCCUCUUUUCAUUUUUCAAUUUCAAUUCACAACUGGUUUCCAUCUUCUCUUUCUUCCAUUUAGUUUUUCAUGUCUCUCCAAUUUCAGAUCUCAUCAACCUUGAUCUUUCUGGCAUCUCCAAGAAACUCAUUGAUGAAUACGAUUGGUAGUUCAGAUUUUGGAAUGAAAUUUUUUACUUACCCUUCAAAGCUUUCCAAAUAGAACAGGAUAAGCUCUUGGACAAGAACAAGAAAGUGAAGUUAUUUUAUAUCUACAAGCCAUUUUUAAAGAUCCAUUUAGAAGACUGGGUUUUAGAGAUGAGAAAGAGUUGUGUUGUCAUUUUGGGAGAAAACAAGAUUUGAAGAGAAAGAGGCAAGACUAUGGAGAAGAAGAAGGGACUUGAAGAUUUUCAUCCAUGGUGUCAAUUAAAGAUGCAAUUAGAGACCCAUUGAGUGCUUCCAUUGAAUAAGGUAAGGGUGGGGUUCUCUUUCUAUAAUGGGGCUUAUGAAAUAUUGUAUGGGGGAUUGGAUGUGUAGAUUAUUACUUUUGCUUGUUUAAAUCGUUGCUAGAAAACCAAAUAUUGUAUGAAUUUGGGUUGUUGUCUUGAAAUCUAUUAUUGUUGCUGUUUGAAAUUUGCCGUCGGUAUCUUUAGAAAUUAACACGGUGUUGAUAUUAUGCGAAACAAGUCAUAACGGACGGUAUUGAAAUCUCAUGACGUGCAGCAUUGUUCAAUGGGAGAGGGGUUGCCGAGCGACCCCAUUAGGCUACAUCGUUUGAUGCAAUUCUCAACAUAUGGGUGUUGCAUAAUAUUUUCUUGUUGUGCACUGUUUCUUCUGUUUUUCUUUUGUUUCAUUGUUCAUCAUAAUACUUUAUUAUUAACAUAUAUAUAUAAUAUUUACAUAAUGGUAUAAACUUGACAUGAGAUAUACCACUUAUGCAUACCAUUUCCGUUUUGUGCCAUUCCAUUGCGUGUUGCAAUGCUAUUUACGUUUCUGUUUUUGUAAUUGUGUUCCAUUGUUUAUUUUUUUAUGUUUCCUACUGUUAAUUGAGAUAAAUAUAUAUAGAAUGGUAUGAUACAAAGAAAAUGAAUUUAAUUAUGAAAUAGCAUAGGUUAGAAACAUUGAGAUAAAAUAUAUAUAGAAUGGUAUGAUAUAAGGAAAAUGAAUUUAAUUAGGAAAUCAUAUAUGUUAGAAACAGUAAGUAACAGUUAUUUAUAGGACUAAUAAAAUAUAAAACAGUCUCGUUUGAUUGAAAUAGCCGAAUUAAGCGGUAUAAUUAGUUGCCCGAAAUUUGAUGAAAAUUGACGUGGUAGCUAAGUUUAAUUAGUAGAUUAACAUGGUGGUGUUAUUUUGUUGAAAUUGUGAUAUUUUACGAAUCUACUGAAAUUGUGUUUGAUUUAAAUAUUCUUUAUAAAUAAAUUAUAAUAAUUUAAUAGAAUUGUCAAUAGAGUUGUUAGAGUUGUCAAUAGAGUUGUUAGAGUCGACAAUAAGUUGUCAGAGUUGUUUUGAAUUAUUAAGAGUCAUAUUUUUAUUUGUUUUGAGUAAUUCUGACAUGUUUAGAGUUGUCAGUGUAUAACGUCGGUGUUUGUUUUUUUAUUGGAACUUUAACAAUUCAUAUCUUUUGAACCGUAACUCCGUUUGAGUCUCCGUUCGAGGCGUUAGAAAGCUAGCGUGAUAUUCUUUUUAAUAAAAAUGGUCUUGAGCAAUAGAAUGCUAGAAAAUUGGAAAUGGAGUAGAAAUAGAAGUGAAUUAAAUUAAUAUAGUGUGAUUAUUAAUCGGUUGAUUAAAUUAAUAGUUGAGUUAAUUUCAAUGUGUUUAAUUGAUUAGAAUACAAUUUGGAAUUAGAUCAACUAUUUGGUUUGUCGGUAAAUUACGAUAUUUUGAGAAUUUAUCCGUAAUUGUGUUUUGACUUGAAUAUGUAUGUUGAGAAAUAUAUAUUAUUAUGUCAAUGAUGUUGUUUUGAUAUUGAUUCUCUGUGGGUAGUUGGAUAGCAUUAAUUUUAAUGAUUAAUUGCUUGAUUUUAAAUGUGUAUGUUCAUAUAUAAUUGGCAAAAUGAGAAUUAACAUGAGAUAGUACGGUUACUAGUGUUAAUUGGAUUUUGUGAAUCGUAAUUGAUUAAUUGGCCUUUUAUAUGUGAAUCAUAUGUAUGUGUUGUGAAUGUUGUGUACAAUUGGUGGAUAAUUCAUCGAGUUGAAUUAUUGUGAUAUGCUAAAUAUUAAGAUGGUAGAGAUGAUCUUAAUUGCAUAUGUUUGUCAACAUUGUACAUGCAUUCAUGUCAUGGUGUGCCUUGAAACAAAGGUGGUUUGCUUUGAAACAAAAGCGGGGCUUGAAUUCUAGAGUGAAUUCGGAAAGCGGUAAACUAUAUGUUUAUAUUUGGUGGCUUUGAUCUUGUCCGGAUCUGAAGCGUGGCUAGAUUCUAUAUGAAUCGGAAGCGGUGGAACUUUGGGUCCACAUUGGGUACCACAUGCAUAGAGUCACAUGUCUUGCAUUGAGUCACAUUGAGAUUAUGCGAUGUUUGAAUAUAUGCAUUUAUGUGAUUGUUAUAUGUACAUGAGAGGUGAUAAUUGAAAUUGGUGAUGUUUUGAUACAUAAUUGGUUAAAUGUGUGAGUAUGUGAUAAUGAUGGAUGGUGUAUAUAUUUGGGAUAAUAGUAUUGAAUCUUUUGAGUAUCAUACUAUUGAAUUUUGUGCAUACUUGAAUAUGUGAAAUUUAUUGGAUGAUACUAUUUAUAUGAUUAUGACUUGUUGUGUCAUGAAAAGUAUGUGAGACUAAUGAAGAGUAGAAGUAUGAUGUGUAUAGUAGCUAUUGAUACUUGCAAUGUGAUAAUCUUAUAUAUCUGAAUCCUAGCAUGCACUUUAUCAUACGCCCACUUAUAUGAUUUGAUAUCUCACCCUUUUCUCUUGUUUCGCCGUUGCCUUUAUAUUGGCAACGUGCAGGUAUUCAAGUAUGAAGAUUUAGUUGCCGUUACUCGAGUCGGUCGUCGCUCUGAUACGUAGCACUCUAGGGGGAACGAUUUAUGUCAUUCAUGAUGUUGUUGUUUAAUUGUGUUAUCUUGGUUGAACAAAAUGAUAAGUUAACUGAAGAUAUUUUAUUGAAUACUUGUUUAAGUGAUUACGCUGUGUUUUAAUAAAAUAAGUUAUUCUGUUUCAAAGGUGCUAUGUAUCCGCUUUAUGCGACGAGUUGAUUUGUUUUGUUUUAUUAUGUGACGCCUCAUUUGUUUAUUGGAAAAUUUGGAAAACUCUGAUUUAUAUAUAUUUUUCGGGUAGAAAUGGGGUGUUACAAUAGUGGUAUCAGAGCAGGUCGGUCCGUCCGGCCAAGUUGUCGAGUCUAUUGAGUUGUGCGACAGUUGAAUGUUGUCUGUGUUUUAGUCUUUAGUACAUGACACAUGUGUGAAACACUGUCCGUACUUGUUUGUUUUGUUGUAGGAAGUGGUUUGUUUCCAAGUGGGGGAGAAGUUUUGCUUCUCGAAGAUGUUUCUGUUGUGAGAGAUGGUCCGGUAUGCUGUCGACAAGCGACAAAUACAAGUGUUGUUGAGAAUUUUGGAUGUUACCUAGAUUCGAAGGCGAUGUAAAGUUAAGAAUAAUUUUGGAAGAAGGAAUUUAGAAAGUGGCGAUGUUCAGCACGGUUGAGGACCGUGAAGUUAUCGGUGCGUUUAACCUUUGCGUCUGAUGUCAGUGUUUGACAAGUGUUAAAGUGAUAAAGUUGCGGUAGACUUUAUGUUAGACUCGCAAAAGUGAUUAACGGACGUAGUCGAUGUGUGAAGUGGUGUGAAUCGCGAACCCGAGUGGGAACUCGAGAAUGCGUGUAGCUUGAGUUUCGGAUAUCUGAUUUGAACUCUGUUUGAAGCGUCAGAAAGAUAACGAGAUGAAGUGUAUUAUAAGAAUUAUUGCCGCAGCCGUAAUAGAUUUGAUUUUGAUGUGAUGAUGUUGAGAUGGGAUGCAGUUUAUCGUCGAAGUUAUUUGAGGAGUUUAGGAGAUAACGUAAAAAUUGUCGAUGCUUGACGUCGAUGUUUACAAUUCGGAUAACCCCAGAGUUUUGUAGCUUGGGUUUCGAGUAUCAGUUGGACGUACCGUUUGAGCCUACGAAGAGGUGAAGUUGUAUUCUACCAUAUGGAAAUGUGUAAGCCUGUUGAAUAAGAAUGGUUAUUACCGCAAAUGUAUGAAGCGAAGUUAAGCAAAACUUGUUGUUUAUGAUUAAGAUGAGAGAACGAGAUAUUUGGUAUCAAAGAUGAUUUGAGUACUUAUGACUUUUAAGGAAGAGUGAAGUAGUAGUGAAGAAAAAUUCAGACUUAGGGAUGAUAGAAGUUGUAUUUGGGAUGCCAAAAGUGGCGGUGUGUACAAAAGAAUGACUGCAUGGAAUUUCUAUCGCCAGUUUAUCGUGAGGAGGACUUCGGUUGAGACGAAACGAAUUGUGUGAUGCUAAGUGAUUAUGAAUUAGACUUUUUUAUUAUGUUUGGACGUCGGUGUCUCAUUGACAAGAUCGAUUGAUAAGGUAAGAUCUUGUAGGAAUUGUAAAAACCUAAAGUGAAUCAUUGGAUUACGUCGUGUUAAUGGAUUUAAGUGGAAAUUCGGAAAGGACGUUAUUUUGAUGUAACAACGAUUUAUACUCCACUAAGGUUGUCGGAUACUAAUUGGCAAAUUGGGGAACUGAUCACCCUCAAUCUAUUGCUAAUGGUAGACGAAACUCGUGUUGGACGUUAUAGAUUUGUCUUGUUGUCUUAAUAGUGUAGAAAGAGUCUAUAUUUUAUCGUGAAGAUAGUCGCCCAUCAAUUUGUGUAGCUUGGUAAGAAGGAUGGUUGAGUUAGAAUUAGAUGGGAUUAACAAUCGUUGUGGUACGUUUUAUGCAAGCGAGUGUCGCAAAGUGAAAGAUUGGAAAUAUCAAGUAAAUAACGAUGUGAGGAUGAGUAUUGAAGAAAGUUUGUAUUGGAUCGAGAAUUUGUGAACCAUAUAAGUAGACAGGAUUUUAUCGAGAAUGGUGACUUAAAAGAGAAUUAUCAGAGUUGAUCAGCGGAAGCCUUAGGUGACAUUGUUGUUGUAAGGCUUGAGGGAGUAAGAAACUAUAUGCCAGAGGUCGGUAAAGAUGAGUUAUCUUGAUAUUUGGAUUGACGGACUGUUGGAAUAAGUGUGAUGCGCCAGAAUACUGCAUUGAAUCGUUGAUUAUUGCAAAACUGGUAAGAACUGUAAUGUGUUAGUGUUCAUGAGAAUCGUUGUUGUGACGAAGAGGUAGUGAUCGAAGUGUUACCAAGCACGAUUUGGAGAUUUGAGAUUUGGAUACGAGGUUUGUGUUUGGAUGAUGUUGAGCGAAUUUUCGAGGACGAAAAUAUUCUAAGUGGGGGAGAGUUGUAACACCCCGAAUUUAAUUAAAUUGGUUAAUUAAAUUAUUGAAGGAUUUAAAUACUUGAUUUAGUCGAAUUUGGAUUGUCGGUGUUAUUUAAGGGCGUAUUUGGAAUUAUAUAAAUUGAAGUCGAAUAGUCGGAAAAUAAUAUUGAGAAUAAUAUUAUUUAUAAGUCGGAAUUAUUAUAUUGAAGGAAUUAUUAUUAUAAGUGAUAUAAUUGAUUAUUUGAGUUAUAUCUCUUAUUGGGCCUAAAUUGAUUUUGGAGGAUAUUAAAUAAAGAGAGGAUUUAAACACUAAGCCCAAUUAGUUUUAUAUUAGGGUUUUAGAGAUGAGAAAGAGUUGUGUUGUCAUUUUGGGAGAAAACAAGAUUUGAAGAGAAAGAGGCAAGACUAUGGAGAAGAAGAAGGGACUUGAAGAUUUUCAUCCAUGGUGUCAAUUAAAGAUGCAAUUAGAGACCCAUUGAGUGCUUCCAUUGAAUAAGGUAAGGGUGGGGUUCUCUUUCUAUAAUGGGGCUUAUGAAAUAUUGUAUGGGGGGAUUGGAUGUGUAGAUUAUUACUUUUGCUUGUUUAAAUCGUUGCUAGAAAACCAAAUAUUGUAUGAAUUUGGGUUGCUGUCUUGAAAUCUAUUAUUGUUGCUGUUUGAAAUUUGCCGUCGGUAUCUUUAGAAAUUAACACGGUGUUGAUAUUAUGCGAAACAAGUCAUAACGGACGGUAUUGAAAUCUCAUGACGUGCAGCAUUGUUCAAUGGGAGAGGGGUUGCCGAGCGACCCCAUUAGGCUACAUCGUUUGAUGCAAUUCUCAACAUAUGGGUGUUGCAUAAUAUUUUCUUGUUGUGCACUUUUUCUUCUGUUUUUCUUUUGUUUCAUUGUUCAUCAUAAUACUUUAUUAUUAACAUAUAUAUAUAAUAUUUACAUAAUGGUAUAAACUUGACAUGAGAUAUACCACUUAUGCAUACCAUUUCCGUUUUGUGCCAUUCCAUUGCGUGUUGCAAUGCUAUUUACGUUUCUGUUUUUGUAAUUGUGUUCCAUUGUUUAUUUUUUUAUGUUUCCUACUGUUAAUUGAGAUAAAUAUAUAUAGAAUGGUAUGAUACAAAGAAAAUGAAUUUAAUUAUGAAAUAGCAUAGGUUAGAAACAUUGAGAUAAAAUAUAUAUAGAAUGGUAUGAUAUAAGGAAAAUGAAUUUAAUUAGGAAAUCAUAUAUGUUAGAAACAGUAAGUAACAGUUAUUUAUAGGACUAAUAAAAUAUAAAACAGUCUCGUUUGAUUGAAAUAGCCGAAUUAAGCGGUAUAAUUAGUUGCCCGAAAUUUGAUGAAAAUUGACGUGGUAGCUAAGUUUAAUUAGUAGAUUAACAUGGUGGUGUUAUUUUGUUGAAAUUAUGAUAUUUUACGAAUCUACUGAAAUUGUGUUUGAUUUAAAUAUUCUUUAUAAAUAAAUUAUAAUAAUUUAAUAGAAUUGUCAAUAGAGUUGUUAGAGUUGUCAAUAGAGUUGUUAGAGUCGACAAUAAGUUGUCAGAGUUGUUUUGAAUUAUUAAGAGUCAUAUUUUUAUUUGUUUUGAGUAAUUCUGACAUGUUUAGAGUUGUCAGUGUAUAACGUCGGUGUUUGUUUUUUUAUUGGAACUUUAACAAUUCAUAUCUUUUGAACCGUAACUCCGUUUGAGUCUCCGUUCGAGGCGUUAGAAAGCUAGCGUGAUAUUCUUUUUAAUAAAAAUGGUCUUGAGCAAUAGAAUGCUAGAAAAUUGGAAAUGGAGUAGAAAUAGAAGUGAAUUAAAUUAAUAUAGUGUGAUUAUUAAUCGGUUGAUUAAAUUAAUAGUUGAGUUAAUUUCAAUGUGUUUAAUUGAUUAGAAUACAAUUUGGAAUUAGAUCAACUAUUUGGUUUGUCGGUAAAUUACGAUAUUUUGAGAAUUUAUCCGUAAUUGUGUUUUGACUUGAAUAUGUAUGUUGAGAAAUAUAUAUUAUUAUGUCAAUGAUGUUGUUUUGAUAUUGAUUCUCUGUGGGUAGUUGGAUAGCAUUAAUUUUAAUGAUUAAUUGCUUGAUUUUAAAUGUGUAUGUUCAUAUAUAAUUGGCAAAAUGAGAAUUAACAUGAGAUAGUACGGUUACUAGUGUUAAUUGGAUUUUGUGAAUCGUAAUUGAUUAAUUGGCCUUUUAUAUGUGAAUCAUAUGUAUGUGUUGUGAAUGUUGUGUACAAUUGGUGGAUAAUUCAUCGAGUUGAAUUAUUGUGAUAUGCUAAAUAUUAAGAUGGUAGAGAUGAUCUUAAUUGCAUAUGUUUGUCAACAUUGUACAUGCAUUCAUGUCAUGGUGUGCCUUGAAACAAAGGUGGUUUGCUUUGAAACAAAAGCGGGGCUUGAAUUCUAGAGUGAAUUCGGAAAGCGGUAAACUAUAUGUUUAUAUUUGGUGGCUUUGAUCUUGUCCGGAUCUGAAGCGUGGCUAGAUUCUAUAUGAAUCGGAAGCGGUGGAACUUUGGGUCCACAUUGGGUACCACAUGCAUAGAGUCACAUGUCUUGCAUUGAGUCACAUUGAGAUUAUGCGAUGUUUGAAUAUAUGCAUUUAUGUGAUUGUUAUAUGUACAUGAGAGGUGAUAAUUGAAAUUGGUGAUGUUUUGAUACAUAAUUGGUUAAAUGUGUGAGUAUGUGAUAAUGAUGGAUGGUGUAUAUAUUUGGGAUAAUAGUAUUGAAUCUUUUGAGUAUCAUACUAUUGAAUUUUGUGCAUACUUGAAUAUGUGAAAUUUAUUGGAUGAUACUAUUUAUAUGAUUAUGACUUGUUGUGUCAUGAAAAGUAUGUGAGACUAAUGAAGAGUAGAAGUAUGAUGUGUAUAGUAGCUAUUGAUACUUGCAAUGUGAUAAUCUUAUAUAUCUGAAUCCUAGCAUGCACUUUAUCAUACGCCCACUUAUAUGAUUUGAUAUCUCACCCUUUUCUCUUGUUUCGCCGUUGCCUUUAUAUUGGCAACGUGCAGGUAUUCAAGUAUGAAGAUUUAGUUGCCGUUACUCGAGUCGGUCGUCGCUCUGAUACGUAGCACUCUAGGGGGAACGAUUUAUGUCAUUCAUGAUGUUGUUGUUUAAUUGUGUUAUCUUGGUUGAACAAAAUGAUAAGUUAACUGAAGAUAUUUUAUUGAAUACUUGUUUAAGUGAUUACGCUGUGUUUUAAUAAAAUAAGUUAUUCUGUUUCAAAGGUGCUAUGUAUCCGCUUUAUGCGACGAGUUGAUUUGUUUUGUUUUAUUAUGUGACGCCUCAUUUGUUUAUUGGAAAAUUUGGAAAACUCUGAUUUAUAUAUAUUUUUCGGGUAGAAAUGGGGUGUUACAAUAGUGGUAUCAGAGCAGGUCGGUCCGUCCGGCCAAGUUGUCGAGUCUAUUGAGUUGUGCGACAGUUGAAUGUUGUCUGUGUUUUAGUCUUUAGUACAUGACACAUGUGUGAAACACUGUCCGUACUUGUUUGUUUUGUUGUAGGAAGUGGUUUGUUUCCAAGUGGGGGAGAAGUUUUGCUUCUCGAAGAUGUUUCUGUUGUGAGAGAUGGUCCGGUAUGCUGUCGACAAGCGACAAAUACAAGUGUUGUUGAGAAUUUUGGAUGUUACCUAGAUUCGAAGGCGAUGUAAAGUUAAGAAUAAUUUUGGAAGAAGGAAUUUAGAAAGUGGCGAUGUUCAGCACGGUUGAGGACCGUGAAGUUAUCGGUGCGUUUAACCUUUGCGUCUGAUGUCAGUGUUUGACAAGUGUUAAAGUGAUAAAGUUGCGGUAGACUUUAUGUUAGACUCGCAAAAGUGAUUAACGGACGUAGUCGAUGUGUGAAGUGGUGUGAAUCGCGAACCCGAGUGGGAACUCGAGAAUGCGUGUAGCUUGAGUUUCGGAUAUCUGAUUUGAACUCUGUUUGAAGCGUCAGAAAGAUAACGAGAUGAAGUGUAUUAUAAGAAUUAUUGCCGCAGCCGUAAUAGAUUUGAUUUUGAUGUGAUGAUGUUGAGAUGGGAUGCAGUUUAUCGUCGAAGUUAUUUAAGGAGUUUAGGAGAUAACGUAAAAAUUGUCGAUGCUUGACGUCGAUGUUUACAAUUCGGAUAACCCCAGAGUUUUGUAGCUUGGGUUUCGAGUAUCAGUUGGACGUACCGUUUGAGCCUACGAAGAGGUGAAGUUGUAUUCUACCAUAUGGAAAUGUGUAAGCCUGUUGAAUAAGAAUGGUUAUUACCGCAAAUGUAUGAAGCGAAGUUAAGCAAAACUUGUUGUUUAUGAUUAAGAUGAGAGAACGAGAUAUUUGGUAUCAAAGAUGAUUUGAGUACUUAUGACUUUUAAGGAAGAGUGAAGUAGUAGUGAAGAAAAAUUCAGACUUAGGGAUGAUAGAAGUUGUAUUUGGGAUGCCAAAAGUGGCGGUGUGUACAAAAGAAUGACUGCAUGGAAUUUCUAUCGCCAGUUUAUCGUGAGGAGGACUUCGGUUGAGACGAAACGAAUUGUGUGAUGCUAAGUGAUUAUGAAUUAGACUUUUUUAUUAUGUUUGGACGUCGGUGUCUCAUUGACAAGAUCGAUUGAUAAGGUAAGAUCUUGUAGGAAUUGUAAAAACCUAAAGUGAAUCAUUGGAUUACGUCGUGUUAAUGGAUUUAAGUGGAAAUUCGGAAAGGACGUUAUUUUGAUGUAACAACGAUUUAUACUCCACUAAGGUUGUCGGAUACUAAUUGGCAAAUUGGGGAACUGAUCACCCUCAAUCUAUUGCUAAUGGUAGACGAAACUCGUGUUGGACGUUAUAGAUUUGUCUUGUUGUCUUAAUAGUGUAGAAAGAGUCUAUAUUUUAUCGUGAAGAUAGUCGCCCAUCAAUUUGUGUAGCUUGGUAAGAAGGAUGGUUGAGUUAGAAUUAGAUGGGAUUAACAAUCGUUGUGGUACGUUUUAUGCAAGCGAGUGUCGCAAAGUGAAAGAUUGGAAAUAUCAAGUAAAUAACGAUGUGAGGAUGAGUAUUGAAGAAAGUUUGUAUUGGAUCGAGAAUUUGUGAACCAUAUAAGUAGACAGGAUUUUAUCGAGAAUGGUGACUUAAAAGAGAAUUAUCAGAGUUGAUCAGCGGAAGCCUUAGGUGACAUUGUUGUUGUAAGGCUUGAGGGAGUAAGAAACUAUAUGCCAGAGGUCGGUAAAGAUGAGUUAUCUUGAUAUUUGGAUUGACGGACUGUUGGAAUAAGUGUGAUGCGCCAGAAUACUGCAUUGAAUCGUUGAUUAUUGCAAAACUGGUAAGAACUGUAAUGUGUUAGUGUUCAUGAGAAUCGUUGUUGUGACGAAGAGGUAGUGAUCGAAGUGUUACCAAGCACGAUUUGGAGAUUUGAGAUUUGGAUACGAGGUUUGUGUUUGGAUGAUGUUGAGCGAAUUUUCGAGGACGAAAAUAUUCUAAGUGGGGGAGAGUUGUAACACCCCGAAUUUAAUUAAAUUGGUUAAUUAAAUUAUUGAAGGAUUUAAAUACUUGAUUUAGUCGAAUUUGGAUUGUCGGUGUUAUUUAAGGGCGUAUUUGGAAUUAUAUAAAUUGAAGUCGAAUAGUCGGAAAAUAAUAUUGAGAAUAAUAUUAUUUAUAAGUCGGAAUUAUUAUAUUGAAGGAAUUAUUAUUAUAAGUGAUAUAAUUGAUUAUUUGAGUUAUAUCUCUUAUUGGGCCUAAAUUGAUUUUGGAGGAUAUUAAAUAAAGAGAGGAUUUAAACACUAAGCCCAAUUGGUUUUAUAUUAGGGUUUUAGAGAUGAGAAAGAGUUGUGUUGUCAUUUUGGGAGAAAACAAGAUUUGAAGAGAAAGAGGCAAGACUAUGGAGAAGAAGAAGGGACUUGAAGAUUUUCAUCCAUGGUGUCAAUUAAAGAUGCAAUUAGAGACCCAUUGAGUGCUUCCAUUGAAUAAGGUAAGGGUGGGGUUCUCUUUCUAUAAUGGGGCUUAUGAAAUAUUGUAUGGGGGGAUUGGAUGUGUAGAUUAUUACUUUUGCUUGUUUAAAUCGUUGCUAGAAAACCAAAUAUUGUAUGAAUUUGGGUUGCUGUCUUGAAAUCUAUUAUUGUUGCUGUUUGAAAUUUGCCGUCGGUAUCUUUAGAAAUUAACACGGUGUUGAUAUUAUGCGAAACAAGUCAUAACGGACGGUAUUGAAAUCUCAUGACGUGCAGCAUUGUUCAAUGGGAGAGGGGUUGCCGAGCGACCCCAUUAGGCUACAUCGUUUGAUGCAAUUCUCAACAUAUGGGUGUUGCAUAAUAUUUUCUUGUUGUGCACUUUUUCUUCUGUUUUUCUUUUGUUUCAUUGUUCAUCAUAAUACUUUAUUAUUAACAUAUAUAUAUAUAAUAUUUACAUAAUGGUAUAAACUUGACAUGAGAUAUACCACUUAUGCAUACCAUUUCCGUUUUGUGCCAUUCCAUUGCGUGUUGCAAUGCUAUUUACGUUUCUGUUUUUGUAAUUGUGUUCCAUUGUUUAUUUUUUUAUGUUUCCUACUGUUAAUUGAGAUAAAUAUAUAUAGAAUGGUAUGAUACAAAGAAAAUGAAUUUAAUUAUGAAAUAGCAUAGGUUAGAAACAUUGAGAUAAAAUAUAUAUAGAAUGGUAUGAUAUAAGGAAAAUGAAUUUAAUUAGGAAAUCAUAUAUGUUAGAAACAGUAAGUAACAGUUAUUUAUAGGACUAAUAAAAUAUAAAACAGUCUCGUUUGAUUGAAAUAGCCGAAUUAAGCGGUAUAAUUAGUUGCCCGAAAUUUGAUGAAAAUUGACGUGGUAGCUAAGUUUAAUUAGUAGAUUAACAUGGUGGUGUUAUUUUGUUGAAAUUAUGAUAUUUUACGAAUCUACUGAAAUUGUGUUUGAUUUAAAUAUUCUUUAUAAAUAAAUUAUAAUAAUUUAAUAGAAUUGUCAAUAGAGUUGUUAGAGUUGUCAAUAGAGUUGUUAGAGUCGACAAUAAGUUGUCAGAGUUGUUUUGAAUUAUUAAGAGUCAUAUUUUUAUUUGUUUUGAGUAAUUCUGACAUGUUUAGAGUUGUCAGUGUAUAACGUCGGUGUUUGUUUUUUUAUUGGAACUUUAACAAUUCAUAUCUUUUGAACCGUAACUCCGUUUGAGUCUCCGUUCGAGGCGUUAGAAAGCUAGCGUGAUAUUCUUUUUAAUAAAAAUGGUCUUGAGCAAUAGAAUGCUAGAAAAUUGGAAAUGGAGUAGAAAUAGAAGUGAAUUAAAUUAAUAUAGUGUGAUUAUUAAUCGGUUGAUUAAAUUAAUAGUUGAGUUAAUUUCAAUGUGUUUAAUUGAUUAGAAUACAAUUUGGAAUUAGAUCAACUAUUUGGUUUGUCGGUAAAUUACGAUAUUUUGAGAAUUUAUCCGUAAUUGUGUUUUGACUUGAAUAUGUAUGUUGAGAAAUAUAUAUUAUUAUGUCAAUGAUGUUGUUUUGAUAUUGAUUCUCUGUGGGUAGUUGGAUAGCAUUAAUUUUAAUGAUUAAUUGCUUGAUUUUAAAUGUGUAUGUUCAUAUAUAAUUGGCAAAAUGAGAAUUAACAUGAGAUAGUACGGUUACUAGUGUUAAUUGGAUUUUGUGAAUCGUAAUUGAUUAAUUGGCCUUUUAUAUGUGAAUCAUAUGUAUGUGUUGUGAAUGUUGUGUACAAUUGGUGGAUAAUUCAUCGAGUUGAAUUAUUGUGAUAUGCUAAAUAUUAAGAUGGUAGAGAUGAUCUUAAUUGCAUAUGUUUGUCAACAUUGUACAUGCAUUCAUGUCAUGGUGUGCCUUGAAACAAAGGUGGUUUGCUUUGAAACAAAAGCGGGGCUUGAAUUCUAGAGUGAAUUCGGAAAGCGGUAAACUAUAUGUUUAUAUUUGGUGGCUUUGAUCUUGUCCGGAUCUGAAGCGUGGCUAGAUUCUAUAUGAAUCGGAAGCGGUGGAACUUUGGGUCCACAUUGGGUACCACAUGCAUAGAGUCACAUGUCUUGCAUUGAGUCACAUUGAGAUUAUGUGAUGUUUGAAUAUAUGCAUUUAUGUGAUUGUUAUAUGUACAUGAGAGGUGAUAAUUGAAAUUGGUGAUGUUUUGAUACAUAAUUGGUUAAAUGUGUGAGUAUGUGAUAAUGAUGGAUGGUGUAUAUAUUUGGGAUAAUAGUAUUGAAUCUUUUGAGUAUCAUACUAUUGAAUUUUGUGCAUACUUGAAUAUGUGAAAUUUAUUGGAUGAUACUAUUUAUAUGAUUAUGACUUGUUGUGUCAUGAAAAGUAUGUGAGACUAAUGAAGAGUAGAAGUAUGAUGUGUAUAGUAGCUAUUGAUACUUGCAAUGUGAUAAUCUUAUAUAUCUGAAUCCUAGCAUGCACUUUAUCAUACGCCCACUUAUAUGAUUUGAUAUCUCACCCUUUUCUCUUGUUUCGCCGUUGCCUUUAUAUUGGCAACGUGCAGGUAUUCAAGUAUGAAGAUUUAGUUGCCGUUACUCGAGUCGGUCGUCGCUCUGAUACGUAGCACUCUAGGGGGAACGAUUUAUGUCAUUCAUGAUGUUGUUGUUUAAUUGUGUUAUCUUGGUUGAACAAAAUGAUAAGUUAACUGAAGAUAUUUUAUUGAAUACUUGUUUAAGUGAUUACGCUGUGUUUUAAUAAAAUAAGUUAUUCUGUUUCAAAGGUGCUAUGUAUCCGCUUUAUGCGACGAGUUGAUUUGUUUUGUUUUAUUAUGUGACGCCUCAUUUGUUUAUUGGAAAAUUUGGAAAACUCUGAUUUAUAUAUAUUUUUCGGGUAGAAAUGGGGUGUU
Molecule: long non-coding RNA, 14035 nt
Organism: Vicia villosa (hairy vetch)
Lineage: Eukaryota; Viridiplantae; Streptophyta; Magnoliopsida; Fabales; Fabaceae
Exons: 4
Source: RefSeq, a predicted model, not a curated record